RNAcentral lists this transfer RNA (76 nucleotides) under Desulfovibrio sp. Its description in RNAcentral is "tRNA-Ile". It matches the Rfam family "tRNA". Rfam says of the family: Transfer RNA (tRNA) molecules are approximately 80 nucleotides in length. Their secondary structure includes four short double-helical elements and three loops (D, anti-codon, and T loops). RNAcentral also lists the same sequence under 1 other name. Lineage: Bacteria; Pseudomonadati; Thermodesulfobacteriota; Desulfovibrionia; Desulfovibrionales; Desulfovibrionaceae. The record is from RNAcentral.
GGGCCUAUAGCUCAGUUGGUAGAGCUUCCGGCUCAUAACCGGCCUGUCCCAGGUUCAAAUCCUGGUGGGCCCACCA